UGAACCAGAGUAUUGGAAAUUUGGCGAGGCAGGAAACAAGUACUUCCGCCAUGCUACUGGACAGCUAUAUGCCAUUUCAAAAGAUUUGGCUACAUAUAUAUCAAUAAACCAGUAAGUUCCAUUUCAGUUGAAUGUAAGAUGGAGUAAACAUGGGUGCAGUCCGGGUUUGGACCAUAACCGUUUUGACAGGAUCCAAACUGGACCAGACCGAUUUUGACCGGUUCAGUCUGGUUCUGGAUCAAACAUCAGAUUAUAUAUUAAAUUGACCUUCGGAUUUGAUCAAACUGGAUUGCAAUUGAAACCAAAACCCUUCAGUCCAAUCCCGGCUCCCCAGCCCUUAGGACUGAAACUGCUGGUCUGGCCGGAUUGCUCCCAUGUCUUAUGAGUGAAUCUGAAGGUCUGCCUAUUUGGUUUUGUGUUCUUGCGUUGUGAUGGGUAUUGUGGACAUAAUUAUCUCAGGCAUGUUCUGCA
RNAcentral lists this unclassified non-coding RNA (471 nucleotides) under Hevea brasiliensis (rubber tree). Lineage: Eukaryota; Viridiplantae; Streptophyta; Magnoliopsida; Malpighiales; Euphorbiaceae. The record is from RNAcentral.